AACGAACGCUGGCGGCGCGCCUAAUACAUGCAAGUCGAGCGAGAAGACGUAGCAAUACGUUUGUAAAGCGGCGAACGGGUGAGGAAUACAUGGGUAACCUACCCUCGAGUGGGGAAUAACUAGCCGAAAGGUUAGCUAAUACCGCGUACGCUCCUUGGACUUCGGUUCAGGGAGGAAAGCGAUACCGUGGGUAUCGCGCUCUUGGAUGGGCUCAUGUCCUAUCAGCUUGUUGGUGAGGAACGGCUCACCAAGGCUUCGACGGGUAGCUGGUCUGAGAGGACGGAUCAGCCACACUGGCACUGCGACACGGGCCAGACUCCUACGGGAGGCAGCAGUAAGGAAUAUUGCGCAAUGGGCGAAAGCCUGACGCAGCGACGCCGCGUGGGGGA
Molecule: ribosomal RNA, 389 nt
Filed under: uncultured bacterium
Lineage: Bacteria
Description: bacterial SSU rRNA
Rfam family: Bacterial small subunit ribosomal RNA
Source: RNAcentral